CAUAUUCUAGACAAUUUAGAGUUUACACUACAAUUCAAACAAUAGUUCUUAACUUACAUUCCUAAUUGAAAUAGAUUCAUUAAUUUAAUAAUCCCUAUGUUAUACAACAAACAAAUAAUACACACUAUAAAACUAUAUAUAGUCCUCAAAAUGAUCUCAUUGUUCUGUAACAAUUUGUGUUGGUGUUAUCUCCCUUUCUAACCUCCCUUCAUCUUACCUCUUUCCUGCAACCAUUCCACACCCAUGUCAAUAGUUGAUGACAAAAUUAUAACAGAAGACAAUGAGAUUAUAAUCAGUUAACCUACAGAAGCAAUUAGCUUCCCAUGUGGGAAAAAAGAGCAGAAAAAACAGGUAUUGGAAUGAACAACUUUGGUCAAUCAACCUACACCAUGUUUAUACUACAUUUUAUUUGGAGGACUCUAGUAGAUUUGAACCAAUAAGUCAUUGUGUAUCCAUUUUCAAGUUUCCAUUCUAAUCCAGUGUGCAUUUUCAUAAAGGUGUUGUGCACACUCUGAUGAAGAGCAUACAUAAUUAGUCAUGAAAGAUUCUAAACAGGGCAAUUUGUGAAGGGAUACAUAAUUAGUCUAGUAUAUCCUUCAAAACUUGAUAAAAAAUCUGACAGUAAAGACAUGACAUAUUGAUCCAUAUCAUAAUUAGUUAAGGAUGACACUUCAAUAGUAAAGACCAAUAUAGUUAGCAAUUAACAGUGAUUAAUAAUAAAUCACCUUAAAUUCCUCUGCAAAGAGGAACCGGAAUUUCGAGUUUUAUGUAAAUCAAAUUCAAACCAGUUUCAUGUAACAAAAAGAAACCUACAUGUAAGCCAAAAGUUUGGCCUUGUGUGAAAGUUAUAGGCCUUAAGAUUAACCAAUUCCAAAGGUUAAACAUUAUAUCUCUUUGACUAUUUCUCACUUUAUUUCAUCCCUACUACUUCAGCAUGCUAAAUUAAUAAAAGCACAUCAAUAAGAGGCAAAAUAUUAUCCCAUGUGGAACCAAAGUGAUUACUAACCUUUAGAGCUUGUACUUCUUAAAUUGUUUUGCUUAUGCAUGCAUCUCCAGAGCUAUUAUUACCCCAUGUGGAGGAAGGAUAUCCUCUGUCGAAAAACAACCAGGAGAAAAUAAAGUGAAUAUCAAUGACAAUAAUAAAAGAAAGAAAGUAAAUGACCUCACAAUGAUCGUCACCAUUUAAUCAUAACCUUCUACUUCCAAUUCUUCAUUGAAACUUGAUAGGACCAAUUACAUUAUGCACUCAUAGUUUGAGUUAUGCGCCCUUCAUCCUCUUCAAUUAAUCUCCCCUUCAACUAUUUAUGAUGGCAAUAUUAAAAUUCCAUGACAGAAACCAUUCAAAUGUUAAUCUCCAUUGUAAAAGUCAUGACAGUAGCCCUCCAAGACAACAUGUGACAAAAGUAAUUCAUCUUGUAGUUUGUUCCUAUUGGAGCAUAACAGAACAAAUAUAUUAUAAAAAGCAAGAAAAUCAUAUUAUAAAAAAUUCUAAUUCAACAUAUAAAAAACAAUAUAGCAUUUCAAUCAAUGAGUUUUCUUGAACCAUGUGAAUUCAAAUGCUCAUCUUUGUGACUGUUUGAGGUUAACAUAAACUGACAAAGCCAAAAAAAAGUUCAAUUGAACUAAAUGUGACCAUUCAAACUCCAUCAUAUCUCACUUCUGCAGUUGUAGCUGAUAUUUGUAGCAGCGGUGUAGCAAAACCUUUUUCCAAACCAAAAGUCUCUUCUCAAGUAAAAUGAAAAACCUUGAAUUAAUUUCGGUUAGUAGAACCUGUAAAAGGAACCGUAAUCAAGUUUAUGAAAGACAUGAUUCAAAUCUUAUUAUAAGAUACACUGGUGCAAAUCAUUCCAUAUAUAUAAAUCAUUUUAACUGACAAAGUAUUCUCAAUAAUAAAUCAUGUUAUGAUCACUCAAGGCAUGAAAUUAAACCACAACCUCCAAAAUAGAGCUGAUGCGUAUUAGUUCCUUUUCAAUAAGGUGUUAUAUAUCAACAAAGGCUAAUUUUGAAAUUAUCAACUUAUGUGUUUAUGGUUAAAAAAUAAUAGGAAGGUUUGUUCAUGCAAAUGAAGCACUAACUAAAAUUUCCUACUAAUAAGGCAUAUCUAAUAGAUUAAAUCAAACUAACAGUCAUUAUUCCUAAUUAAUGGCUGAUGUCUAUCCACAUGUGGCAAAGGGAAAGAAACCAAACCUCUUCAUUAUUGUGUGGCUGCAAAAAAAAAAUCAGAAUUUUUUUAACCUGAUUGCAAUUAAAAAAUAAAUAAAAGACUAAUAAUGUUAUGUAAUUAUAGGUAUAUAGAAAAGACUGCAGGUUUUCCAAACAGUUGUCAGCAAUCAAAAUCAACAAAAUAGAUUCAAAAUCAAGCAAAAUCAAUUUACCAUCCAACAAAGUAAAGAAAGAUCAUAG
This 2403-nucleotide long non-coding RNA is filed under the name Trifolium pratense (red clover). RNAcentral's name for it is "long non-coding RNA (TPRA_LNC012690)". The record is from RNAcentral. Lineage: Eukaryota; Viridiplantae; Streptophyta; Magnoliopsida; Fabales; Fabaceae.